CGUAGGGUGCGAGCGUUAAUCGGGAUUACUGGGCGUAAAGCGUGCGCAGGCGGUUUUGUAAGACAGGCGUGAAAUCCCCGGGCUCAACCUGGGAACUGCGCUUGUGACUGCUAAGCUAGAGUACGGCAGAGGGGGGUGGAAUUCCACGUGUAGCAGUGAAAUGCGUAGAGAUGUGGAGGAACACCAAUGGCGAAGGCAGCCCCCUGGGUCGAUACUGACGCUCAUGCACGAAAGCGUGGGUAGCAAACAGGAUUAGAUACCCUGGUAGUCCACGCCCUAAACGAUGUCAACUAGGUGUUGGGAGGGUAAAACCUUUUAGUACCGGAGCUAACGCGUGAAGUUGACCGCCUGGGGAGUACGGCCGCAAGGUUA
Molecule: ribosomal RNA, 372 nt
Filed under: uncultured organism
Description: bacterial SSU rRNA
Rfam family: Bacterial small subunit ribosomal RNA
Source: RNAcentral